Molecule: ribosomal RNA, 1444 nt
Filed under: Klebsiella pneumoniae
Lineage: Bacteria; Pseudomonadati; Pseudomonadota; Gammaproteobacteria; Enterobacterales; Enterobacteriaceae
Description: bacterial SSU rRNA
Rfam family: Bacterial small subunit ribosomal RNA
Source: RNAcentral
GGAAAAUGCGGCAGCUACACAUGCAGUCGAGCGGUAGCACAGAGAGCUUGCUCUCGGGUGACGAGCGGCGGACGGGUGAGUAAUGUCUGGGAAACUGCCUGAUGGAGGGGGAUAACUACUGGAAACGGUAGCUAAUACCGCAUAAUGUCGCAAGACCAAAGUGGGGGACCUUCGGGCCUCAUGCCAUCAGAUGUGCCCAGAUGGGAUUAGCUAGUAGGUGGGGUAACGGCUCACCUAGGCGACGAUCCCUAGCUGGUCUGAGAGGAUGACCAGCCACACUGGAACUGAGACACGGUCCAGACUCCUACGGGAGGCAGCAGUGGGGAAUAUUGCACAAUGGGCGCAAGCCUGAUGCAGCCAUGCCGCGUGUGUGAAGAAGGCCUUCGGGUUGUAAAGCACUUUCAGCGGGGAGGAAGGCGUUAAGGUUAAUAACCUUGUCGAUUGACGUUACCCGCAGAAGAAGCACCGGCUAACUCCGUGCCAGCAGCCGCGGUAAUACGGAGGGUGCAAGCGUUAAUCGGAAUUACUGGGCGUAAAGCGCACGCAGGCGGUCUGUCAAGUCGGAUGUGAAAUCCCCGGGCUCAACCUGGGAACUGCAUUCGAAACUGGCAGGCUAGAGUCUUGUAGAGGGGGGUAGAAUUCCAGGUGUAGCGGUGAAAUGCGUAGAGAUCUGGAGGAAUACCGGUGGCGAAGGCGGCCCCCUGGACAAAGACUGACGCUCAGGUGCGAAAGCGUGGGGAGCAAACAGGAUUAGAUACCCUGGUAGUCCACGCCGUAAACGAUGUCGAUUUGGAGGUUGUGCCCUUGAGGCGUGGCUUCCGGAGCUAACGCGUUAAAUCGACCGCCUGGGGAGUACGGCCGCAAGGUUAAAACUCAAAUGAAUUGACGGGGGCCCGCACAAGCGGUGGAGCAUGUGGUUUAAUUCGAUGCAACGCGAAGAACCUUACCUGGUCUUGACAUCCACAGAACUUUCCAGAGAUGGAUUGGUGCCUUCGGGAACUGUGAGACAGGUGCUGCAUGGCUGUCGUCAGCUCGUGUUGUGAAAUGUUGGGUUAAGUCCCGCAACGAGCGCAACCCUUAUCCUUUGUUGCCAGCGGUUAGGCCGGGAACUCAAAGGAGACUGCCAGUGAUAAACUGGAGGAAGGUGGGGAUGACGUCAAGUCAUCAUGGCCCUUACGACCAGGGCUACACACGUGCUACAAUGGCAUAUACAAAGAGAAGCGACCUCGCGAGAGCAAGCGGACCUCAUAAAGUAUGUCGUAGUCCGGAUUGGAGUCUGCAACUCGACUCCAUGAAGUCGGAAUCGCUAGUAAUCGUAGAUCAGAAUGCUACGGUGAAUACGUUCCCGGGCCUUGUACACACCGCCCGUCACACCAUGGGAGUGGGUUGCAAAAGAAGUAGGUAGCUUAACCUUCGGGAGGGCGCUACCACUUGGUUACCGGGG